GAUGAACGCUGGCGGCGUGCCUAAUACAUGCAAGUCGAGCGAACAGACGAGGAGCUUGCUCCUCUGACGUUAGCGGCGGACGGGUGAGUAACACGUGGAUAACCUACCUAUAAGACUGGGAUAACUUCGGGAAACCGGAGCUAAUACCGGAUAAUAUAUUGAACCGCAUGGUUCAAUAGUGAAAGACGGUUUUGCUGUCACUUAUAGAUGGAUCCGCGCCGCAUUAGCUAGUUGGUAAGGUAACGGCUUACCAAGGCAACGAUGCGUAGCCGACCUGAGAGGGUGGUCGGCCACACUGGAACUGAGACACGGUCCAGACUCCUACGGGAGGCAGCAGUAGGGAAUCUUCCGCAAUGGGCGAAAGCCUGACGGAGCAACGCCGCGUGAGUGAUGAAGGUCUUCGGAUCGUAACACUCUGUUAUUAGGGAAGAACAAAUGUGUAAGUAACUAUGCACGUCUUGACGGUACCUAAUCAGAAAGCCACGGCUAACUACGUG
RNAcentral lists this ribosomal RNA (497 nucleotides) under uncultured bacterium. RNAcentral describes it as "partial 16S ribosomal RNA". It matches the Rfam family "Bacterial small subunit ribosomal RNA", at positions 28 to 507 of the family's 1533-position model. The record is from RNAcentral.